RNAcentral lists this transfer RNA (67 nucleotides) under Empoascanara falcata. RNAcentral's name for it is "tRNA-Thr". Lineage: Eukaryota; Metazoa; Arthropoda; Insecta; Hemiptera; Cicadellidae. RNAcentral also lists the same sequence under 1 other name. The record is from RNAcentral.
GUUUUAAUAAUUUAAAAAAAAAAUAAUGAUUUUGUAAGUCAAAAUUGAAGUUAAACUUCUUAAAACA